GACGAACGCUGGCGGCGUGCUUAACACAUGCAAGUCGAACGGAAAGGCCCUGCUUUUGUGGGGUGCUCGAGUGGCGAACGGGUGAGUAACACGUGAGUAACCUGCCCUUGACUUUGGGAUAACUUCAGGAAACUGGGGCUAAUACCGGAUAGGAGCUCCUGCUGCAUGGUGGGGGUUGGAAAGUUUCGGCGGUUGGGGAUGGACUCGCGGCUUAUCAGCUUGUUUGUGGGGUAGUGGCUUACCAAGGCUUUGACGGGUAGCCGGCCUGAGAGGGUGAACGGCCACAUUGGGACUGAGAGACGGCCCAGACUCCUACGGGAGGCAGAAGUGGGGAACAUUGCACAAUGGGCGGAAGCCUGAUGCAGCAACGCCGCGUGCGGGAUGACGGCCUUCGGGUUGUAAACCGCUUUCGCCUGUGACGAAGCGUGAGUGACGGUAAUGGGUAAAGAAGCACCGGCUAACUACGUG
Molecule: ribosomal RNA, 468 nt
Filed under: uncultured bacterium
Lineage: Bacteria
Description: partial 16S ribosomal RNA
Rfam family: Bacterial small subunit ribosomal RNA
Source: RNAcentral